Long non-coding RNA from Arachis stenosperma, 1433 nucleotides. RefSeq lists it as uncharacterized. The transcript is spliced from 2 exons. NCBI's taxonomy places the organism in Eukaryota, Viridiplantae, Streptophyta, Magnoliopsida, Fabales, Fabaceae. The record is from RefSeq and is a predicted model, not a curated record.
CACAAGAGCCUAAAAGCCUUAGCUUUCUCCCCUACAACAACGUAACACCCCCACCGUACCCUUUCUCCCCUUCCUAACGGCGACAGCAGGUCAGCAGCUUUUAAUUGCCGGUGCACUCCUCCACGUACGUCGACGGUGUCAUGCUAUCCUCGACGGGCGACGGUGUGGUACCAAAUCACAGACCUUUUCUCCCCUUCAUAAUGGCGACAGCAGCGCUUAAUUGCGGUGUACUCCUCCACGUACGGCGACGGCGCGGUGCUCUCCUCGACGAGUGCGGUGCUCUCCUCGACGGGCGCGGUGCUCAAUCGCGAGAAACUCCUGUCCCUUCUCUUCACCUUCUCGUUCUUCCUCUGUUCCUCCGUUUCCAGGAUUAAAUUAUCGUAUCGAGAAGCUGAUGAACACAUUUGGGGUUUCAAUCUCAUUGUUGGUGGCAGCCCUUGCAUUGCAACAACCUUGCUGGGAGCAAUAGGGUAAGUAGGGGGAUGAAUUAGAGGUAAAGAAUCUUCCCUCUUUUUUUAUUACUGCCGUAUUCUUGACUUGGUUAAGAAUAUAAUGACCACCAACCAAUGAACUAAGUUUAAAGAAAGAAAGAAAAAAAAGGAAAAAAGAAAAAAACUGUUAAUAUUCUUUGUAAAAUCCAAACAUUUUGGAUGUUAUCUAACUUGAAAACAGUUUUUACACCCCAUUUUUGUUGCCAAAGUAAAGGCAACGGGUUUAAAUAAGUUUUAAUUUUUCACAUUUGUGAUUUCACUUUUACUAUUUUAAGAAAAAGACAUUAAAGACUGUUCAAUUUUUUUUUUACCUGUUAAGAUUGAUCUUGUUUAAUGAUGGUCUUGAAUCGUGCCAUGUUUGGAAGUUUUAAUGAUAUAUAUGGGAAGACCAAGAUCAAGUUUCUAAUAUCAUAAGUUUCUAGGGACAUAGUCAAUCAAAACAAUGAAAAACUAAAGUGAUUGAUCUAUUGUAAAAUCUAUUCUCUAUUAUUUUCUGUCAUUCUUAUCAAUUCAGUUCAUUUGUGAAUGAUAUCAAUUUAAGAAGAAAAAAAGCUAAGAAACUCAUAACUCAUGUUUGAUGCAAAUUAGUACCACACUAAAAUUAGUUCAUUUAAUAAUUUUCGUCUCAAUUGGAUACACUCUUGAUUAUAUGUUCUGCAUUCAUAUAGUUUUGGGAGUUGAUUGACAGUAUAGUUUGAUUAUUUGAAUUUUCUGCUUACUUUUUUAUGUGUGAAGACAAUGAAAUUUGAGGUUCAUUAGGGUUAUGUAAUUGUAUGCUUGAAUCAUUGAAAGGAAUAUAAUUUAGAUGUCAUAGUAUAAUUUUCUUAUUGUUAUGUAGCAAAAAACUGUAUUCAAUAUUUUUAUUUAUUUUUAGUUUAAGGGAUUACUUUACCUUUGUGGAUGUUAAAAAAUAAGUUUCUAAAACUGUAUUUAUUUGAAUUA